CCCCCAAAUCACCGAUCCAAGAUAUCUGAAACCGUCCCUCUUGGCUAUGGUCUGAGAUCCAAUCUUCACGUCCCCGCCUACUUCGCUCGGCUCGGCGCUAAACUUGCACUCCUGGUAUUCUGUCUUAGACCUGCUUAGUUUGAAACCCUUAGACUCGAGAGUCUGUCUCCAUACCUCUAGCCUCUCGUUAACAUCGACCCUCGUCUCGUCUAUGAAGACUAUGUCAUCGGCAAAUAGCAUACACCAAGGCAUAUCCCCUUGAAUAUGAUGGGUUAGAGCAUCCAUCACCAAGGCAAACAAGAUAGGUCUCAGCGUAGAUCCUUGAUGGAGCCCCAUAACCACCGGAAAAUGGUCUGAGUCGCCACCCACUGUCCUGACCCUAGUCUUAGCUCCAUCGUACAUGUCCUUGAUUACUCUGAUGUAGGCUUCCGGCACGCUCUUAGCCUCCAGGCACCUGCAUAGCACCUCCCUAGAGACCUUGUCAUACGCCUUCUCCAAGUCGAUAAACACCAUGUGCAGGUCCUUCUUCUUAUCCCUGAAUCCUGAUGUAGGCUUCUGGUACGCUCUUAGCCUCCAGGAACCUCCAUAGCACCUCCAUAGGUACCUUGUCAUACGCCUUCUCCAAGUCGAUAAACACCAUGUGCAUGUCCUUCUUCUUAUCCCUAAACUGUUCCACCAAUCUCCUGACAAGGUAGAUAGCUUCUGUAGUGGAGUGACCUAGCAUGAAACCGAACUGGUUCACAGAUAUAGAUGUUGUAUCCCUCACCCUAGCCUCGAUCACCCGCUCUUAGACCUUCAUGGUGUGACUUAUCUAUUUGAUACCCAUAUAGUUGUUGCAACACUGGAUAUCCCCUUUGUUCUUGUACAGGGGCACCACUAUGCUCCAC
Molecule: long non-coding RNA, 887 nt
Filed under: Nicotiana benthamiana
Lineage: Eukaryota; Viridiplantae; Streptophyta; Magnoliopsida; Solanales; Solanaceae
Description: long non-coding RNA (NBEN_LNC009501)
Source: RNAcentral